GUGCCAGCAGCCGCGGUAAUACGGAGGAUGCAAGCGUUAUCCGGAAUGAUUGGGCGUAAAGCGUCCGUAGGUAGCAGUGUGUGUCUAUUGUUAAAGAGUUUGGCUUAACCAAAUAAAGGCGGUAGAAACUACACAGCUAGAGUGCGUUCGGGGCAGAGGGAAUUCCUGGUGUAGCGGUGAAAUGCGUAGAGAUCAGGAAGAACACCGGUGGCGAAAGCGCUCUGCUAGGCCGCAACUGACACUGAGGGACGAAAGCUAGGGGAGCGAAUGGGAUUAGAUACCCCCGUAGUCC
This 292-nucleotide ribosomal RNA is filed under the name uncultured bacterium. Its description in RNAcentral is "partial 16S ribosomal RNA". It matches the Rfam family "Bacterial small subunit ribosomal RNA", at positions 505 to 796 of the family's 1533-position model. The record is from RNAcentral.